This 429-nucleotide ribosomal RNA is filed under the name Chloroflexota bacterium. RNAcentral's name for it is "Chloroflexi bacterium partial 16S ribosomal RNA". It matches the Rfam family "Bacterial small subunit ribosomal RNA", at positions 355 to 776 of the family's 1533-position model. The record is from RNAcentral. Lineage: Bacteria; Bacillati; Chloroflexota.
UGGGGAAUAUUGCACAAUGGGCGCAAGCCUGAUGCAGCCAUGCCGCGUGUGUGAAGAAGGCCUUCGGGUUGUAAAGCACUUUCAGCGGGGAGGAAGGCGGUGAGGUUAAUAACCUCAUCGAUUGACGUUACCCGCAGAAGAAGCACCGGCUAACUCCGUGCCAGCAGCCGCGGUAAUACGGAGGGUGCAAGCGUUAAUCAGAAUUACUGGGCGUAAAGCGCACGCAGGCGGUCUGUCAAGUCGGAUGUGAAAUCCCCGGGCUCAACCUGGGAACUGCAUUCGAAACUGGCAGGCUAGAGUCUUGUAGAGGGGGGUAGAAUUCCAGGUGUAGCGAUGAAAUGCGUAGAGAUCUGGAGGAAUACCGGUGGCGAAGGCGGCCCCCUGGACAAAGACUGACGCUCAGGUGCGAAAGCGUGGGGAGCAAACAGG